This 1401-nucleotide ribosomal RNA is filed under the name uncultured bacterium. RNAcentral's name for it is "bacterial SSU rRNA". It matches the Rfam family "Bacterial small subunit ribosomal RNA". The record is from RNAcentral.
AGAGUUUGAUCCUGGCUCAGAUUGAAUGCUGGCGGCAGGCCUAACACAUGCAAGUCGAACGGUAACAGAAAGCAGCUUGCUGCUUUGCUGACGAGUGGCGGACGGGUGAGUAAUGUCUGGGAAACUGCCUGAUGGAGGGGGAUAACUACUGGAAACGGUAGCUAAUACCGCAUAACGUCGCAAGACCAAAGAGGGGGACCUUCGGGCCUCUUGCCAUCGGAUGUGCCCAGAUGGGAUUAGCUUGUUGGUGGGGUAACGGCUCACCAAGGCGACGAUCCCUAGCUGGUCUGAGAGGAUGACCAGCCACACUGGAACUGAGACACGGUCCAGACUCCUACGGGAGGCAGCAGUGGGGAAUAUUGCACAAUGGGCGCAAGCCUGAUGCAGCCAUGCCGCGUGUAUGAAGAAGGCCUUCGGGUUGUAAAGUACUUUCAGCGGGGAGGAAGGGAGUAAAGUUAAUACCUUUGCUCAUUGACGUUACCCGCAGAAGAAGCACCGGCUAACUCCGUGCCAGCAGCCGCGGUAAUACGGAGGGUGCAAGCGUUAAUCGGAAUUACUGGGCGUAAAGCGAGCGCAGGCGGUUUCUUAAGUCUGAUGUGAAAGCCCCCGGCUCAACCGGGGAGGGUCAUUGGAAACUGGGAGACUUGAGUGCAGAAGAGGAGAGUGGAAUUCCAUGUGUAGCGGUGAAAUGCGUAGAUAUAUGGAGGAACACCAGUGGCGAAGGCGGCUCUCUGGUCUGUAACUGACGCUGAGGCUCGAAAGCGUGGGGAGCAAACAGGAUUAGAUACCCUGGUAGUCCACGCCGUAAACGAUGUCGACUUGGAGGUUGUGCCCUUGAGGCGUGGCUUCCGGAGCUAACGCGUUAAGUCGACCGCCUGGGGAGUACGGCCGCAAGGUUAAAACUCAAAUGAAUUGACGGGGGCCCGCACAAGCGGUGGAGCAUGUGGUUUAAUUCGAUGCAACGCGAAGAACCUUACCUGGUCUUGACAUCCACAGAACUUUCCAGAGAUGGAUUGGUGCCUUCGGGAACUGUGAGACAGGUGCUGCAUGGCUGUCGUCAGCUCGUGUUGUGAAAUGUUGGGUUAAGUCCCGCAACGAGCGCAACCCUUAUCCUUUGUUGCCAGCGGUCCGGCCGGGAACUCAAAGGAGACUGCCAGUGAUAAACUGGAGGAAGGUGGGGAUGACGUCAAGUCAUCAUGGCCCUUACGACCAGGGCUACACACGUGCUACAAUGGCGCAUACAAAGAGAAGCGACCUCGCGAGAGCAAGCGGACCUCAUAAAGUGCGUCGUAGUCCGGAUUGGAGUCUGCAACUCGGCUCCAUGAAGUCGGAAUCGCUAGUAAUCGUGGAUCAGAAUGCCACGGUGAAUACGUUCCCGGGCCUUGCACACAACGCCCGUCA